GUGACUGCGUACCUUUUGUAUAAUGGGUCAGCGACUUAUAUUCUGUAGCAAGGUUAACCGAAUAGGGGAGCCGAAGGGAAACCGAGUCUUAACUGGGCGUUAAGUUGCAGGGUAUAGACCCGAAACCCGGUGAUCUAGCCAUGGGCAGGUUGAAGGUUGGGUAACACUAACUGGAGGACCGAACCGACUAAUGUUGAAAAAUUAGCGGAUGACUUGUGGCUGGGGGUGAAAGGCCAAUCAAACCGGGAGAUAGCUGGUUCUCCCCGAAAGCUAUUUAGGUAGCGCCUCGUGAAUUCAUCUCCGGGGGUAGAGCACUGUUUCGGCAAGGGGGUCAUCCCGACUUACCAACCCGAUGCAAACUGCGAAUACCGGAGAAUGUUAUCACGGGAGACACACGGCGGGUGCUAACGUCCGUCGUGAAGAGGGAAACAACCCAGACCGCCAGCUAAGGUCCCAAAGUCAUGGUUAAGUGGGAAACGAUGUGGGAAGGCCCAGACAGCCAGGAUGUUGGCUUAGAAGCAGCCAUCAUUUAAAGAAAGCGUAAUAGCUCACUGGUCGAGUCGGCCUGCGCGGAAGAUGUAACGGGGCUAAACCAUGCACCGAAGCUGCGGCAGCGACACUGUGUGUUGUUGGGUAGGGGAGCGUUCUGUAAGCCUGUGAAGGUGUGCUGUGAGGCAUGCUGGAGGUAUCAGAAGUGCGAAUGCUGACAUAAGUAACGAUAAAGCGGGUGAAAAGCCCGCUCGCCGGAAGACCAAGGGUUCCUGUCCAACGUUAAUCGGGGCAGGGUGAGUCGACCCCUAAGGCGAGGCCGAAAGGCGUAGUCGAUGGGAAACAGGUUAAUAUUCCUGUACUUGGUGUUACUGCGAAGGGGGGACGGAGAAGGCUAUGUUGGCCGGGCGACGGUUGUCCCGGUUUAAGCGUGUAGGCUGGUUUUCCAGGCAAAUCCGGAAAAUCAAGGCUGAGGCGUGAUGACGAGGCACUACGGUGCUGAAGCAACAAAUGCCCUGCUUCCAGGAAAAGCCUCUAAGCAUCAGGUAACAUCAAAUCGUACCCCAAACCGACACAGGUGGUCAGGUAGAGAAUACCAAGGCGCUUGAGAGAACUCGGGUGAAGGAACUAGGCAAAAUGGUGCCGUAACUUCGGGAGAAGGCACGCUGAUAUGUAGGUGAAGUCCCUCGCGGAUGGAGCUGAAAUCAGUCGAAGAUACCAGCUGGCUGCAACUGUUUAUUAAAAACACAGCACUGUGCAAACACGAAAGUGGACGUAUACGGUGUGACGCCUGCCCGGUGCCGGAAGGUUAAUUGAUGGGGUCAGCGCAAGCGAAGCUCUUGAUCGAAGCCCCGGUAAACGGCGGCCGUAACUAUAACGGUCCUAAGGUAGCGAAAUUCCUUGUCGGGUAAGUUCCGACCUGCACGAAUGGCGUAAUGAUGGCCAGGCUGUCUCCACCCGAGACUCAGUGAAAUUGAACUCGCUGUGAAGAUGCAGUGUACCCGCGGCAAGACGGAAAGACCCCGUGAACCUUUACUAUAGCUUGACACUGAACAUUGAGCCUUGAUGUGUAGGAUAGGUGGGAGGCUUUGAAGUGUGGACGCCAGUCUGCAUGGAGCCGACCUUGAAAUACCACCCUUUAAUGUUUGAUGUUCUAACGUGGACCCGUGAUCCGGGUUGCGGACAGUGUCUGGUGGGUAGUUUGACUGGGGCGGUCUCCUCCUAAAGAGUAACGGAGGAGCACGAAGGUUGGCUAAUCCUGGUCGGACAUCAGGAGGUUAGUGCAAUGGCAUAAGCCAGCUUGACUGCGAGCGUGACGGCGCGAGCAGGUGCGAAAGCAGGUCAUAGUGAUCCGGUGGUUCUGAAUGGAAGGGCCAUCGCUCAACGGAUAAAAGGUACUCCGGGGAUAACAGGCUGAUACCGCCCAAGAGUUCAUAUCGACGGCGGUGUUUGGCACCUCGAUGUCGGCUCAUCACAUCCUGGGGCUGAAGUAGGUCCCAAGGGUAUGGCUGUUCGCCAUUUAAAGUGGUACGCGAGCUGGGUUUAGAACGUCGUGAGACAGUUCGGUCCCUAUCUGCCGUGGGCGCUGGAGAACUGAGGGGGGCUGCUCCUAGUACGAGAGGACCGGAGUGGACGCAUCACUGGUGUUCGGGUUGUCAUGCCAAUGGCACUGCCCGGUAGCUAAAUGCGGAAGAGAUAAGUGCUGAAAGCAUCUAAGCACGAAACUUGCCCCGAGAUGAGUUCUCCCUGACCCUUUAAGGGUCCUGAAGGAACGUUGAAGACGACGACGUUGAUAGGCCGGGUGUGUAAGCGCAGCGAUGCGUUGAGCUAACCGGUACUAAUGAACCGUGAGGCUUAACCUUACAACGCCGAAGGUGUUU
Molecule: ribosomal RNA, 2369 nt
Filed under: Escherichia coli
Lineage: Bacteria; Pseudomonadati; Pseudomonadota; Gammaproteobacteria; Enterobacterales; Enterobacteriaceae
Description: bacterial LSU rRNA
Rfam family: Bacterial large subunit ribosomal RNA
Source: RNAcentral